AGUGAACGCUGGCGGUAGGCCUAACACAUGCAAGUCGAACGGCAGCACAGUAAGAGCUUGCUCUUACGGGUGGCGAGUGGCGGACGGGUGAGGAAUACAUCGGAAUCUACUUUUUCGUGGGGGAUAACGUUGGGAAACUUACGCUAAUAACGCAUACGACCUACGGGUGAAAGCAGGGGAUCUUCGGACCUUGCGCGAUUGAAUGAGCCGAUGUCGGAUUAGCUAGUUGGCGGGGUAAAGGCCCACCAAGGCGACGAUCCGUAGCUGGUCUGCGAGGAUGACCAGCCACACUGGAACUGAGACACGGUCCAGACUCCUACGGGAGGCAGCAGUGGGGAAUAUUGGACAAUGGGCGCAAGCCUGAUCCAGCCAUACCGCGUGGGUGAAGAAGGCCUUCGGGUUUUAAAGCCCUUUUGUUGGGAAAGAAAAGCAGCAGGUUAAUACCCCGCUGUUCUGACGGUACCCAAAGAAUAAGCACCGGCUAACUUCGUG
RNAcentral lists this ribosomal RNA (492 nucleotides) under uncultured bacterium. Its description in RNAcentral is "partial 16S ribosomal RNA". It matches the Rfam family "Bacterial small subunit ribosomal RNA", at positions 29 to 507 of the family's 1533-position model. The record is from RNAcentral.